AUUGAACGCUGGCGGCGUGCUUAACACAUGCAAGUCGAACGAGAACGGAAUAUAGCUUGCUAUAUUUGUCAGCUAAGUGGCGCACGGGUGAGUAACGUAUAGAUAACCUGCCCUUAAGAAAGGAAUAACAGUUGGAAACGACUGCUAAUGCCCUAUAUGCCUUUAAUACAUAAGUAUGCAAGGGAAACGCUUUAGUGCUUAAGGAUGGGUCUGUAUGGUAUCAGCUUGUUGGUGAGGUAAUGGCUCACCAAGGCUAUGACGCCUAACUGGUUUGAGAGGAUGAUCAGUAACACUGGAUCUGAGACACGGUCCAGACUCCUACGGGAGGCAGCAGUGGGGAAUAUUGCACAAUGGGCGAAAGUCUGAUGCAGCAACGCCGCGUGGAGGAUGACACAUUUCGGUGCGUAAACUCCUUUUAUAUAGGAAGAUAAUGACGGUACUAUAUGAAUAAGCACCGGCUAACUCCGUGCCAGCCGCCGCGGUAA
RNAcentral lists this ribosomal RNA (485 nucleotides) under uncultured bacterium. RNAcentral's name for it is "partial 16S ribosomal RNA". It matches the Rfam family "Bacterial small subunit ribosomal RNA", at positions 30 to 523 of the family's 1533-position model. The record is from RNAcentral.